GAAACACCCCACCACCACGGACAGCCUGGACCCCACCGGCCUGCGCGCCGUGGUCCCACCGCCCUGCCGCCGCCCUGCACGACAGGAGCUGAUGAGCCAACGCCUGGCGCUAUGGGCAUUGAUUGGCCGAUCAAUGAGUUAAUUGAUAAACUGCAGUCUCCUUAACCUUGACAAACCCACAUCCUACUCCCUCCGAAAGAACCUGCUGACCCCACCCUCCCGCCACCGGGGGCCUCACCAGGACCUCCUCUUGGGUGGUGCUGGAAUCUUACUGGCUGCUCCCACACCUCAUGGGAGGUCGUAUGGACUGAAAUGAAAGUGUUGCCACACAGACCAGCUGUUGCCUUGGAGACAAUGUCAGUUUAUUGAGUAUCUACUAUGCACUACAUGGUCUUUCCUGGCAUUUACAUCCCUGAACUCUAAUGCCCACUGAUCGUUGAGGAGGGUUAUCCCAGUUUGGGGGAAGAGGAAAUGAGUGCCUGUGAGGGAGGUGAGAGCAGAGACCACAGCCACUCUGCCAAGACACUAAUUAUUGUAUCAUCCCUCACACAAUUAAAAUCUGAGAAGCAUCUAGGAUGCUUCAAGAAA
Peromyscus maniculatus bairdii (prairie deer mouse) is the source of this 588-nucleotide non-coding RNA. The record is from RefSeq and is a predicted model, not a curated record. Lineage: Eukaryota; Metazoa; Chordata; Mammalia; Rodentia; Cricetidae.